Bos indicus x Bos taurus (hybrid cattle) is the source of this 1385-nucleotide long non-coding RNA. The record is from Ensembl. Lineage: Eukaryota; Metazoa; Chordata; Mammalia; Artiodactyla; Bovidae.
CUCUCAUGGGUUGGGGGCUAUUACCCCUGCAGGGCUGGCACUGGGGAACCUUUUGGGCCAUUCUCAACUGAUGCUUCUUUUCUUCCAGGGAAAGGGCCCUCUGGCCCGCACAGCAUGGAUAUGGGCAGAACGGUUUUUCCUAACUAGGCCUUCUGGGUUGCAGCAGAACAGCAUGUGUCUGCUUCUCAAAUGUAACAGAUUGUCUCUGGAAACUGCGAAAUCUGACCAGAAGGCCCUUAGCCUCCCAGGCUCUGUAGCUUCUGCAGUGAUGAGGCCUGACCACCAGAUGGCUCCACAGAGGCCACUGCUCUCUCAGGGAAGAGGAGGCUGGGAAGAUCCAGGGGAGGACAUGGAAUUGGAUUUUCACCUGGGGAAGCUCUGGUAAGCAUACACAGAGUGGAUGACCACUAACUGUUUGCCCACCCAGCCAUCUGGCACUCUCUUUCUUGGUCUGCUCAGCCUGCACUAGCCCACAGUGGUUGGCUAGGGGUGGUAAUGUUGCUUUCUUUUUCAUCUUUCAUUUCCUUCUUUUUUUUCUCUCUCCCUUCCCUCCCUCCCUUCUUUCCUAUCCUUCACUUAUUUCUUUCCUUCUCCUUCCUUCCUUUUUCUAGCCCAGUUAAAUUGAGUGACUUGCCUAAAGCAACUAAGGAGUGACCCAAGGCCCAGGUCUACUGACUUUUGUUGCUCUCCUCAGGGAAGAGGGAAGUAUCAUGUCUGUAACCCCUACCACUGUCCAGGCUUCAGGUGAGGUACUUUGCUCUAAAGCAUGAUGUGAGCUAGGUUUAUUGAGUCCAUUUCCUUAUCUGCAGAUCUUAGAUGAGGACAAUGAUGCUUAGCUGGCUAGUACCCUGCAUGAGGUUUCACAGCUGUUGUUUCAAGGGCCUUUGUUUGAAUCAUGAAAUGUGUCUUCCUAACAGCAUUCUGAGGAUGGUGCUUGUUCCCCCAUGUUCCAGAUGAGGAACAGGUGACUUUGAGCCCAGAGUCACCCAGGAAGUUUACACAGGAGCUGGGAUCCAAACCGAGUCAAACCCUUGAUCCCAUGCUUCUCAUCAUCACACACUGUUCUGGACUCUGCUCAGGUGCCCCCCACCCCAACCUCCUGACAGAAGCCACUUAGCCAGAUCUCCACAAUCAUUGUCAUUGUGUUCCCAAUGCCCAUUUUAUUAUAAUUGAGUAGGUUAAGGGUUGAUUGUGUUCUCCUUGUCCUUUCACCACGAAUGAUAGAUGGAGCUACAGCUUCUAAAGUGCAGAGCACCCCAUAAUCUCAGACACAUUAGGGGCAUGUGUGAAGCCACAGGUGCAGGAAAGCCUUGAAGACUGUUUCACCAAGUUGUGGGGAAGGGCAUUCCAGCAAGAUAGGACACCAUAAGCCUGAAAUAAUGCCA